Non-coding RNA from Callithrix jacchus (white-tufted-ear marmoset), 30189 nucleotides. Lineage: Eukaryota; Metazoa; Chordata; Mammalia; Primates; Cebidae. The record is from RefSeq and is a predicted model, not a curated record.
CUCGGGUUCAAGCAAUUCUCCUGCCUCAGCCUCCCGAGUAACUGGGAUUACAGGUGUGUGCCACUACACCCAGCUAAUUUUUGUAUUUUUAGUAGAGACGGGGUUUCACCAUGUUGGCCAGGAUGGUCUUGAUCUCUUGACCUUGUGAUCAACCUGCCUCAGCCUCCCAAAGUGCUGCAAUUACAGGCGUGAGCCACUGCGCCCAGCAUUAUUUUCAAAUUUUCUUAACCUGAAAUUCAUCUGAUUCCUAGGGUCUGAAGUCUCUUUGAACGAAACAUAUCUCCCACCACAAAGCUGCCCUUGGUUGGGUGUGGGGUACAAAGGAACCAGGUGGUGAACUGCGAUUGGAGCCCAGAUACAUGUUUUGCUAAUGUGUGCCAGUGCUCUGGCCCAGAGUACCAGCUUCAGUAGUUCAUGGUGACGGUACAUGGCUUUAACAGUGCCAGCCAAUUCAGCAAACUCCUUCACACCUUUUAUUUUGUUUAAUUAUCCUACCAACCCUGAGAGUACAGAUGCAAUUAUCAUCAGCCCCAUGUUACAAAAUGAGAGACUGAAGCAUGUGAUAGUAGCUGAGGCUGGCUUGGGACUCUGGUCUUCUGAAGCUGGCUAAGGAUGAUUGUAGGAAGGGUUAUCUAAGGAGUGACAGAAGGGAGGCCCUCAUUACCUGUCAUUUUAGGAAAGAACUUGUUUCUUGAAGCUUGAGGCUUAAAUGCAAUCCUGUCAUGUUGAUUUGUAGGUGAAGGUAAAAAGGCUCUGAGAUCCAAAGUGAAGGUCCUAGACAAGCAGAAGGCAAAGCCACUGAGUCUGAAAGCAGUGGGGAAGUCCUUCCUUCCAUUUCUUCCCCUCUAAAUCUUCCAGCAUAGGACUUCCCUGCUUAAGCACCUUUGUUGUCUCCCCAUUGCCCAUAGAAGACAAUGCAAUGUCAUUAACAGGGCACUGAGAGUCGUGUACAGACUACCUCCAAAAGACAUUUCCAUUUUUAUCUCUUAGAUGCUCUGAGUUUUUUACUUGGUACUUGCAUAUAUGUUGCAUUUUACCAUGUCGGUGCCUUUGCUUAGCUCUUCCCUCUGAGGAAAAUUCCCCUUCCCCUUGGUUUCUACUUGUACAUUUAUUUAAGUACUUAUUCAUUUAGUCAGUGAGUGAAUGAAGUAUCUACCAUUAUAUUCUUGAGGCACUGGGAAUACAAUAGAAAACAUCAUAAAAUAUCAGAGUCUCUGCUUUCACUGGGGAAGGUGAAAAGUAUUAAACAAUUACACAAAUAUAUAUGGACAAACUCUUAAAAUAAAUAGUGCAAUAAGAUACUGUGCCACAAAGUCCUAGAUAUGCUGGGAUAUCAAUGAGGGCUUUUUGAGGUGGGAUAUUUAAGUUGACCUUUAAGACCUCUGAUACCAUCAGGACAGUUCAGGGACAGAAUCUUCUAUAAAACUGAUUCAAGAGGCUGGUUGGAGUAUUGGAAGUCACAGACCCAGUGAGAAGGCGGGUUGCACUAAAAUAGGAAUCCUUCCUUCCCUCCUGGCCUCCGCAGCAAUUCCCAAAAUAGGAAGCGAACAGAAUUGUGUUUGUGUUCGAAGCUGAAAUUAUUCUUGUUUCCCUCCUCCCUGCAUGCUACCCCUGCCGACAUGUUUCUCACCCAUCUCAGUAUUCACUUUAGAGUCAUAAAGAGCCUAACAUGAACAUCUCCCAUGUACCAAACAUGUGCUAGGUACUUGAUGCACAUCUUUACAUAAAUCCUUACUGCAAUGUGCUGAGGUCAGUAUUACCAUUCUAAUUGUAUAAAUGGGGAGACUGAGGCUCAGUCAGAUUAAGAGGUUUUCCAGGUUUACAUAGGUAGUGGUAGAGCUGAGAUUCCAGGUCAGCUGGUCGCACCCACUCGUCCUAGCACUGCUCUCUGGAGCACACAGAGCACAUCUGCUUCCUUGUCCCCCCAGCCCCUCAGCUUUGAAGACAACAACCUGGCCUACCUCCAAGUCAUCUCUUCUCCAGGCCAAGCUUCCCAGCCAUUAGCUUUAAUCCCAAGGUUGGCAGGUUUACAGCCUUUCUACCCUUAAUUGUUCUUCUUUCACUGGGCUUUUGCCUUGUUCCUUUGGGGAGCAAAUCUAAGCAUGCUGCUCCAGCAAGUAGAUUCCUCCCACAACUCCCACUGACCUGCAUCUGAAAGCCAAUACCUCACCAUGACUAAUAAAGCCCUGUGUGACUGGCCUCUGCCUCUCCAGUCUUACAUUUUAACGUUUACCCAACUACCAUCUCCUCUACCACCCCUCACCCUAACACUCUACACUCUGAACUUUCUGAAGUCCUCCAUUCUUUCUUACCACUCCUCCUAACAUAUCUAUUCCUGGGCCUUCAGUUAACGGACUCCUAUUUAUGAGAGGUUAAGUCUUCAUAAGAAAAGUCUGCUGUGAUCAUGUGAGUUAUGGUGAAUGUUCUUCCUCCUUGCUCACAGGACCCCCAUGUUUUCUAGGUCCUACCUCUUGGUGUGCUGGAUUGUGACUGUCAUCUUAUAUCUGACAUCUGACUCCCCCAUUGUGAGCUAUUUAAAAGCAGAAAAAUAGGUUUGACUUUCCUUUCAUUACAUUCCCAGUGGCAUAUAUUAGGUGUUCAGGGAAAACAGAGGGCAGCAAAGAAGAAAGAAGGGAGAGGGGGAGAGAGGAAAGACUCAAAGGAACACAUGGCUCUUGGUGGGCUCAAUCUUAUUGACAUGUCUUGUGAGAAGGAAACUAUCUUAACUGAAUAUGCACAUGUGUACAUGCUCGCACACACACGCAGACACACACAAAUACACACAUACCCCUUUUGUCCCACCAUCCCUUUCCCUUAUAUAUUCCUUAUAACAAUUCUGAUAAGCAGAUAUUCCCAUUCUACAGGUGCCAAAAGUAAGGCCUAUCAGAGGUGUCUUAGUUCAGAGAUGAAAUGAGUAGACCUGAAAUUCAAGUGAUAGCAACAUUUACUUGUUCAAUUAUUCAUCCAUGCAUUAUACGUGCUUUGGUAACUCUCUGUUCCAUAUUUGGUGUUGGUCACUGGGAAACAAGGGACUCAGACUUAUUCCUGACCUAGACAAAGUCUAAAGGAGGACAAGAAGUGAAACAAUGCAAUGCAAUAGUCACAGCCAGGUAGAAAUAUGUGCUGGGUGCUGUGUGAGCAAUAAGGAAGGAGCAGGAAGCUUUCCCUAAGCAGGAAGCAUUGGAGCUGGGUUUUGAGGGAGAAAUGGGAACUUGUCAGGCAGACAACAAAAGCGAGGUACAUUCUAAGCAGUGGCUGUGGGAAAAGGAAAAGGAGAGAAUCAGGAAAGGUGAUAGGUAAAGACUUGUACCUUUAAGUCACCAGAGUACUCAGUCUGCCCCAGCUGACCCCUGGUGUUGGAGUCUAGCCAACCUUGGAGUGUGCAUUGGCCUCCAGUUAGAGCUGGCUUACUUAGCAGGGGAUGUUGGUUAAUUAUUUGGCACUGUGUUCCAGCCUACUGAGCAGUGUUAGACAUAACAGAGGGAACCAGAGGUGAUAGAUGGUGAUGGGAAAGCAAAAUUGCUUCUUAGAGUUUGCUUCCUGACUGUGCCUACUGUAAAACACACUAUUAGAAGGAAGAAAAUCUUUGCUCUAUUAAUGAAUAAACAUGGAAUAAAUAGUUAGAUGAUUCAAAAACCAAGCCAUUGCCCCUCUAGAAUCUUGGGAAGUCUGAUGCCAGAAGAGUUGGUACAAGCAAUAAGAAUGUUUUAUAUCAAAUCGUCCUGGUAUGUUUGGUGUAGUGCAAUUGAAUGAAAAGGUCCUGGCUGGAACCAUGAGACCUAGGUUUGCAUUCUGUCUCUCAAACUCAUUAGGUCAACUCUGAUGCCACUUAGGCAAUGUGGAUGCCAAGAAGGCCAAUGCGAUCAAAGCCCGUGUUACUAGAAAUCUAAUUAUAAACCAAGGAGGGAUAUAUUUAUUAGGGUUCUCCAGAGAUAUAGAACCAAUAAGACAUGUGUGUGGGUUACACACACAUACACACACGUACACAUAUGUAUACACACACACACACACAUUCCUGUAGGUGUUCAGUGAAAACAGAGGGCAGGAAAGAAGAAAGAAGGGAGAGAGGAAAGAGUCAAAGAAACACAUGGCUCUUGGUGGGUUCACAGUCUUAUUGACAUGUCUUGGGAGAAGGAAACUAUCUUAAUGGCAUAUGCACAUGCACACAUGCAUGCACACACACACACAUACACAUACAAACACACACACACACACCCCUUUUGUCCCACCAUCUCUUUCCCUUAUAUAUUCCUGGUAACAAUUCUAUUAUACAGAUUAUAUAUGUGUAUAUAUACACACACUACACACACACACACAUACAUUAUAUAUAUACACAUGACAUAUAUACACACAUAUGUGUGUGUGUAUAUAUAUAAUGUGUGUGUAUAUGUAUGUGUGUGUAUGUGUGUGUGUGUGUGUGUAUAUAUAUAUAUUUGCUAUAAAGAACUGGGUCAUGAAAUUAUGAAGAUUGGCAAGUUCCAGGAUCUGCAGUCAGCAAGCCGGAGUUCCAAGAGAGUGAAUGGUGUAGUUUAUUUUGUUUGUUUAUUUAGAGGAAUCAUGACACCUAAUUUUGAUAACUACUGUAAAGUUACUAUAAUCAAGACAGUGUGGUAUUGACAAAUAUAUAUACAUUUAGAUCAAUAGAGCAGAGUAGAGAGUUCUACCCACGCAAAUAUGGUCAAUUGAUUUUGAACUAAGAUGCAAAGGCAAUUCAAUGAAGAAAAAAUUCUCUUUCAACAGAUGGUGCUGGAACAAUUGGACUUCACCUAAAUCAAAUCAUAUAGCAUGUGCUCUUCUGGGUCUGAUUGCUUCUUUAACAUAUUGUUUUUUAGAUUUAUCCACAUUGUUGCCUGUGUCAGAACUUUAUUCCUUUUCAGUCUUCUUUAGCAUUCCAUUGCUCAUAAUACACUGUAAUUUAUCAGUUCACCUAUUUGAAUUAUUUUCAGUUUUUGGCUUUUCUGGAAAAAUAUGCUACCAACAUUCUUGAACAAGUCUUUUUUGUGAAUAUAUGUUUUGAUUUCAUUGAAUAAGUAGCCAGGAAUAUAAUUGCAGGAUCAAGUAUAUAAACUUCCAGUUUUCCAAGGUGUUAGUAUCACUUUAUAACUCCUCCCAGUUGUGUCCAGUUUCUCCAUACCUUUUUCAAUACUGGAUGUUGUCAGUCCUUUUGAUUUUUGUCACUCCAGUAAGUGUUCAGUAGUAUUUCAUUAUGGCUUUAAUUUGCAUUUCCCCAACAAGUAAUGGUGUUCAACACCUUUUCAUGAGUUUAUUGGACAUUCAAAUAUCUUCACUGGAUCAUCUCUUUGUCAUGCACUUAUAUGAGUCCUUCAUAUAUUUUGGAUAUAAAUCAUUUGCUAGUUAUAUUACUAUCAAUGCUCUCCCCCAUCGUUGCCUGCCUUUUCCCUUUCUUAAUAUCUUUAAUUUUUUAAAAUUUUAGAUUUGGGGGCACAUGUGUAGGUUUUGUUACAUGGAUAUAUUGCAUAAUGGUGAGGUUUGGACUGCUAGUGUACUCAUCACCCACAUAGUAAUUGUUGUCCCCAACAGGUAAUUCUUUCACCUUCACCAUUCUCCUACUCUCCCAGCUUUUGGAGUCCCCAGUGUCUAUUAUUUUCAUCUUUAUAGCUGUAUGUAUCCAUUGUUUAGCUCGCAUUUGUACAUGAGAACAUGUGGUAUUUGACUUUCUGUUUCUGAAUUAUUUCACUUAGGAUGGUGGCCUCCAGCUCCAUCCAUGUUGCUUCAAAGGACAUGAUUUCUUUUUUUAUGGCUGCAUAGUAUUUUGUGGUGUAUAGAUACCACAUUUUCUUAAUCCAGUCAGCCACCGAUGGACACUUAGGCUGAUUCCAUGACUUUGCAAUUGUGAAUUGUGCUGUGAUAAAAAUACAAGUACAUGUGUCUUUUUGAAACAAUGAUUUCUUUUCUUUUGGGUAGAUGCACAGUAGUGGCAUUGCUAGGUCAGAUGGUAGUUGUAUUUUUAGUUCUUUGAGAAAUCUCCAUACUGUUUUUCAUAGAUGUUAUACUAACCUACAUUUCCAUCAACAUGUAUAAGAGAUCCCUUUUCUUUACAUCCACACUAAUAUCUGUUAUUGUUUUACUUUUUAGUGAUAGCCAUUCUGACUGGCAUAAGAUGACAUCUCAGUGUGGUUUUAAUCUGCAUUUCUCUGAUUAUUAGUGAUGUUGACAUUUUUUCAUAUGUUUGUUGGCCACUAGUAUGUCUUCUUUUGAGAAAUGUCUGUUCACAUCAUUUGUCCAGUUUUUAAUGGGAUUGUUUAUUUGUUUUUCUUGUUGACUUGUUUGAGUUCAUUGUAGAUUCUGGAUAUCAGUCCUUUGUCAGAGACAUCAUUUGUAAAUAUUUUCUCUCAUUCUGUAGCUUAUUCAUUUACUCUGUUAUUUCUUGAGGUGUGUAGAAACUUUAACAUUUGUUAAGUCCCCUAAUGGCGUAGCUCUAAUCUGAGUCCAAAGGCCUGAGAACUAGGAGAGCCAAUGGUUCUCAGUCCAAAGGCCUGAGGACUAGAUAGGGCCAACUGUAGUUUCAGUCCAAAGGUUGACAGGCUCAAGACCUAGAAAGAGCUGAUAUUUCGGUUGGAGUUUGAAGGCAGGGAAAAAUCUGGUGUCCCAGUUCAAAAGAAGUGAGGUAAGAGGAGUUCUCUCUUAUUCAGGGAAUAAUAUCCUCUUAUUUAGCCUUUUGUUCUAUUCAGACUUUCAACUGAUUGGAUGAGGCCCACCCACAUUAUGGAGGGCGAUCUACUUUACUCAGCAGUAAAGCAGAGUUUAACAUUUGUCAAUUUAAAUGUUAAAAUCAUCCAAAAAUGCCCUCCCAGAAACACCCAAAAUAAUGUUUGAUCCAAUAUUUGGGUACCCCAGGCCCAGUCAAGUUGACACAUACACUUAACGAUCACAAGGAGUGAUGAUGCCUCUACAUUCUACCAGUCUCUGUCUCUGGGGAACCCAAAUUCAGUUCAGAUCUUGAAAAGUUAAAUUAGAGUGUUUGCUAAGGAAGUCUCAGGGCCCAGAAGGUACUCAGAACUAUAGCACUGGCAUCAAAAGAACCUGAGGAUAAAAAAUAGAAAAUCCAGAGAAAAGACCUUAUCUUCAGUCUAUGUGAUUUCUUGUUUCACUUUUUUCACCUGUAACGUAGAAAUAAUAAUUGUGCUUACUUAGAAGGGAAGUUAGGAAGGUUGAAUUAGAUAAUCAGCAUGAAAGCACACAGCACAAUGCAGAAAGCAGCAGAAUGGCUUUGUGUGGCUACUUGAGGGUAAACUAUGGUUGGAGAGCAGAGUUAGAGAGGGCCCAUUUUACGCUCAAUAGAAGAACCACUUGAACCAAGAGUGGGGUUAUCAGCUUUCUUAGGUGGCAAGAUCCCCAUCACUGGAUGUGUGUGAACAAAAGCUGGAUCACCUAUUGGCAAGAAUACUUUAAAGAGAACAGAAACACCAUACAUUGGUAGAUGGGCUAAAGCCUAUUAAAAGUCUUGCAAAGAACUCCUUAUAAAUAAAAGUUAUUCUCCUUCUAGAGCUUGUUUUUCCUCCAAUGUCAAAUGCAAACACUUGACUAGAUUUCUAGGGGCUCUUGUAAGUCUAGCGUUCCUUGGUUCACAAUUUGCCACUUUCGCCAGAACUACUGCUGCAGUCCCCAGAUUGGCCUCUCUACCUUCAACCUGUUUCUGUAUCCCCUACAGAUCCACCCCUUAAAUCCAUUCCCAAGUCCAUGCUGAAGCCAGAGAGACCUUCUUGGCAUAUAAUACUUCCUGAUCCUGCUUCACACUCUUGAUGGUUCCUAAUUGCCCUCAGGAUAAAUGCCAACCUCACCAGCCUUUCUCAGAGAAGGGCUGCUUUAAACUGGCAUUCAAGGCUCUUUAAAAUCUAGACUAAUGACCCCUUUUAUUACUCCUUGUCAUGCACCCAACAUUUUAGCCACAGUCAAGUGCUGGUUAUUCCCCAAAACAUAACAGAUUCUUUCAUACUUCCAUACUUUUCUGUCCUGUUUUAGUUUUCCAGAAUGCUCUAUCUGCUUAUCUGCUUCCUGAUCCUUCAAAAUCUAUUUUGAAUAUCGCCAUCUCUAGGCAGCUCUCACUGAUCACCCAGGCUGGUUUAGGAGAAAACUCUCUGUAUCAACCUUUUUCGCACAGCAGCAGAAUUGUCCUUCCUCAAUAUUUCAUGAAGCUUUGAGGCCAAAGACAAGCAUUGAGUCCAUUGUGUAUAUUUUAAUACUUGUUUCCUAACUGAAUGAAAAUAUAUUUCCAUGAUGCAGACUAGCAUUCUCACUCCAGGAUGAGGAAUACAGUGAGUUUGUGAGGUCACCAUUAUGAUAAAUCAUUUCCUUUGCUUGCCAGUCAAUAUAUGUUUAUUCAAGAAAAACAUAAGAAAAAAUAGACUUAAAAUGCUCAAAGACCUAUCACCUUGCUAUACUGAUGUAUUUCUUUCCAGGGUUUUUUUUUUUUUUUGGCAUGCGUAUUUUAAAGAAGAUGUCAAAUACCUAAUUUUGUUCUUAUUCUUUUUUCUCUUAAUAGUACAGCAUUAAAAUUUUCCAUGUUAAUAUGUAGUUUUUCAUAGCCAUUGUUUUUAACAACUAGAUAAUAUUCCAUCAAUUAAAUAAGUAAGUAAAUAACUUUUUGGUUGAACAUUUAAGUGCAUAUUUUUUCACCACUAUAAAAAAUUCAGUGACAGGCAUCUUUGUGGAUGAAGCAUUUCUUUGUGUUUAGGAUUUGUUUCUGAGGAUCAGUGUCUGUGGUUGUUUUUAUCUUGUGAAAAUCAGGGCCUUUAUCUAGCAUCUGCCUGUGUUUUCUCCCCCAAACCUCCCAGACCAAAAAAAACAAAAACUGACAUCAGUGCCCUAAGAGUCACUUAAUGCAGUGUUUCAUGUAUGGGUCCCAAUUAAGGCAACGUGCCCCUUUUCAAAUAUGGCCAUAAAUAUUUUCCUUCAGUGAAGUAGAUGCCAAGGAGAUAAUAUUGAUUGCAAAUUACAGCCUUUGUAAUUAACCAAUUUACGCAGCUGGAAGAUGGAGCUAGUGAAAUCAUUUGCUUCUGAAGGAGAAUGUGGCCUCCCCAAAUCUGACUAUCAGAUAUGAGUUUGGCCUAAUCCCGGGAAUGCUUCUGGUGAGACUGAAGACUAGUCACUGAGGCUCUGGACAAACUGGAUUGUAUUAAGCCUUUUGCCUGCUGACUACACAGCCUCCACCACUCACCCAAAAUGGAUCUGCAUCUGCAAGCACACAAAAACACACACUGGGAAGGGAUAUGAGCUGAGUUUAGCCCUAGGUGCUGCACUCACUGUUCAGGACGUGGAGGAGGGAGGCCCAGGCAGCAGCACCAGACUGGGCUUCCAGUUCUACAGCUACUGUGCGAGCUGGCUCCAGACAGAUGGGGGCAGCAAAGAGCCAGCCUGGUCAGCUGGGAUUCUAGUUGACCAAAGCUGUUGGGAGAACUCAAGCUCAUCAGUGUGGCAAGUUGAUCUUGAUACUGUGACAACUUGGUCUGGACACAUGCAUAGAUGGAAUAGGGGUCUAGAAACAGAAUACUACUACUCCCGUGAUAAAGAAUCUUUAGGGGCAGGAAAUAGCAGCAUUCAAAAUGUCAUACGUGGGUAGAGGAGUGGGCAGUUGUCUCUGACUUUCAUAAAACUCUUGGGCAAAUGCCCCUCCUCAUCUUUAUUUCCAAUUUUUCUUAUUUGUGUUCAAUCUAUUGUCAAAUAUUUGCAAUUCCUAGAAUGGACUAAUUUCUAUUUCAUUUCCAGGCUUUUGCACAUGUUGGUCCCUCAGCGUUGAAUGACUUCCUUCACCCUCAUUGGUCUAGUUAAUUCCUAUUCAUCCUGACCACCUUUGAGGGUAUUCUCUGAGCCCCUCCUUGCCUAAACAGAUGUAGGUAUAUUUUCUGUGCUUUCACAGUGGUUUGCACAAACCUCUAUCAUAGUGUGUAUCAUAUUACUGCACAUAUACUGCAUACAUCUUUCAUUAGAUUGUGGAUGCUUUACAGACAGAACCAUAUCUUAUUCACAUCUCUUCUGGGCACAUAGUUGGUGCUCAAACAUUUGCUGAAUGAAUGAAUGUAUGCAUGAAGAAGCAUCUUUCAAGAUUCUUACAAGAGUUCUGAGGGUACUAGAGAUUUCAUGCUAUUGAUUAUAGGGACUAGUUACCAUAAUCUUUGAGGGAAAUGAGAGCUGACCCUUAAACCUGAGGUUUUACAGACCGGCAUUUCCUUCCUCUCUUUAGAAACAUGAUCAGUUUCUUGCCUUUGUAGUCAUCUGGUUAAAAGAUAUUCCAAAUUCUUAUUAUACCUCAUGAAACAUAUACCUAUUUCUUAUCUUAUUCCUACAAAUGCCUGAAUGUAGAGGCCAGGUCCCACAACAGUUGUGUUUGAGUUACUUUUAGAUUGACUUGGCAAAGCAAAAUCUGGCUGUUAAGCCAUAAAAGGAUGAUCUCAGAUAUGAUCAAGGGACUUCAGAUCGUAACUGCCCAUCCAAAAAGUGACAAUGUAACUAUUUCAAAGGUUACCUUUAGUGCUCAACUUGUACACAACCUUCUCCCCACCCAACCACUGCUAAUCUGAGGUAAGCAUUUAACUGUAAUUCUAUAUAGCAAAAUCCAUAAUCAAUAGAACUGGCCAGAUCUCUUGCUAGCUCUCUGUCUCUGUCUCUGUCUCUGUCUCUGUCUCUGUCUCUCUCUCUCUCUCUCUCUCUACACAUACACACACACACACACCCCAGUUCCUCAAUGAGUGGCCAAAAUCUGCCCAUGUUUUAUUUAGUUUGAGCAGCUAAUGCUAGAACAAAGGUAAUGAAUUAUAUUAAUUACAUUAGAGAUAUUUUAGAGAACUAAGAUUUGCUUUCAGAAACAGAGAGCACAUCUGACUGAGCUGAGUUGAUAGCAACAUGCAGAUAAUUAACAGCUAAUAACAUUAGCGUCAUAAUUAGAACUAUCUUGAUCUCUUAACCCAUCUGCCUUUCUGAUUUUGAGAUCCAUACAGUGAAGAACAAGAUGACUUUUCUUUUUUUUCUUUCUCUAUCUUGAUUUGCCUGUAUGCCUAUAAUAGAUCUUUCCCAAAUACAUAUUACUAACUGCUAUCAUUCACUUUCUUCCUAGUGUGUGCCAGGUGCUCUAUAGAUACUGAGUAUAUGAAGAAUAUAUUACACACUCAACCCUUGAGGGAUUAAAUAUAGUUUACUUCUUCAAAGAACUUACCUGGUAGGAAUUAUGACACCUAUUUUUAUAGAUGAGGAAACUGAAUGAAAUCACUUGUUGAAAACCACUGAGCUGGUUAACUAAGUACAGAUUCAAAAUUAGUUCUACUGACUCCUGUUCUUUCCAGCAUGCCACGGUGCUCUACAAAUGGCCAUUAUUGCUAUUACUUUGAUAAUAGCAAUUGGUAUUGCUACUUCUGGUUGCCAACCAACUAAUUGCUGGUUGACUUUCUGGUAUUCAACUCACUCUUCUGUUCAACAGUGAAGGAAAACAUGAAAGGGAAAAUGUAAUGAACAUGAGGUCAAGUACUCUACCUAGUUGUUUGAAAAAUUCACCAGUAUUGUUAAAACAAUCAGUCCCUGGAGUCCCAAGAAGAGAUGAGCAAAUGAUCUGAACAGAAAUUUCUCAAAAUACAAACAAAUGACCAAAAAAUAUAUGGAAAAUGCUGAACAUCAUUAAUCAUCAAGGAAAUGCAAAGGAAAACCACAAUGAGGUAUUAUCUUACCUAUAAGGAUGGCUAUUAUUGAAAAGACAAAAAUAAUAAAUGCUGGCAAGGAUGUGGAGAAAAGGAAACGCUUAUACACUGUUGAUGGGAAUGUAAACUAGCACAGCUCUGUGGAGAACAAUAUGGAGGUUCCUCAAAAAAGUACAAAUAGAACUACUAUAUGCUCCAGCAAUCCCGCUACUGGGCAUUUAUCAAAAGGAAAGGAAAUCAGUAUAUAAAAAAGGCAUCUGUACCACCAUAUUUAUUGCAGAACUGUUAACAACAGCAAAGAUAUAGACUUGAUCAAGGUAUCCAGCAACAGAUGAAUGGGUAAACUGUGGUGUAUAUACACAAUGGAAUGCUAUUCAAUCAUUAAAAAGACUGAUAUCCUGUCAUUUAUGGCAACAUGGAAUAAGCUGGAGGACACUCUGUAAAGUGAAAUAAGCCAGGAAUAGAAAGUUAAACAGCACAUGUUCUCACUCAUAUGUGGAUGCUAAAAAAAAAAAAAAAAUGAUUGGAUCUCAUAAGGAGAGAGUUGCUAAAGGAUACAAAAUUACAGGUAGAUAGGAGGAAUAAGUUCUAGUGUCUAUGUAACUGUAAGAUGACUGUUGUUAACAAUAAUAAUUAUAUAGUUUCAGCUAGAAAUAUAAUAUUGAACGUUCUCGGCACAAAGAAAUGUGUUGAGAUGAUAGAUAUGCUAAUUACCUUGAUCUGAUCACUAUAUAUUAUAUGUAUAUCAAAAUAUCACUGUUUCCCAUAAAUAUGGACAAUUAUUACAUGUCAAUUAAAAAUUAUUUUUAAAAAGUAGCAAAGGAGCAGAACUCAGUGAUGGGAAAAUCAAGCAGGAAGUUCUUAAAUGUUCAUAUUAGCAAGUAAAUGGCACCAGUGAGGUUUGAACUCUUGGCUUAGGAUCAAGAGAAGAGCAAAGAGAUUCAAGGUCCCAAGGAGGAGGUUGACAGGGAUCUGGGGGACAGUCAGUCUCUGGCUAAACCUAAUAGACAGCAAUAUCACUAAAGGUGUUGCUGAAAUAACCUCAUGACAUUUUGCCAGGGGACUCAAAAAUACCCAUAUCUAACCUCACCUCAGCCAAUUUUCCCUGGCAGCUCCUUGAGGCAAAUAUAUUCACAAGAGAGGAUAAGUUAGUUAUUAUUAUUAUUAUCUAGGAUUUUGGCUCCAAAUCCCAGUGCAUAACAUGACUGAGCUAAGCUGAACUAAAAUGAAGGUCCUUUUCUCCCAAGCUAGUGAGGCUCAAAUGGUCUAGAAACAAUACAGCUCCUCAGUCCUCUCUUGUUUUCCCCCAGUGCCCUCUCCUAAGCCUUAAUUUGAAGAAAAAAAGAAACUACCCAAAAUGUCUCCAUCAGAGCCAGAGAAAGGGAACAGAGAAGUCUACCCAGGAAGGGUAGUAAGUCUAGCACUAGGACCUACCUUACCCAAUUUUGCUCCAUCAUCAGCUAUUGUUUUCCACCAAGACUUCAAGGAAGGGAAAUAUACAAAAUCUGACCCAUGAGAAGCAAAGCAAAACCUUAUUGUUAGCUGGAAACUUGAGCUCAAACCCUAGUGCAGAGAGCCCUGGUGGCCACGUUGUAGACAUGAUAAAGAAUAAAUGAGACAAUACAUGAAGUUUCUAUCAUCAAGCCUCGACUCCCUUUAGAUGAGGUCAGCCUCCUCCUGGAAGCCUAGGAUCACUUCUCUCAUCUCUUGAACCUCAGCCAAGAGUCCAGAUCUCCCUAAUGCCAUGUGCUUACAAAUCUGGACAUCUAAGAACAACUGCUUGAUUUUCUCAUUGCUUAUUUCUGCUCAUGAACUGAAGUUUUUGUUCUGUUUUUCUCCCAGUUCAUCUCGCAAGCCUGCCUGUAUUUCUCUAAAACGAUAUAACACUGUCUCUUCUUCAUAUAUUGCAUUCAUUUUUUCCCUCAGCAGACAUUACUGUCUUUUAGAAACUUCCUAAUCCACUCCCUCUGGGUACCUCACUUUGCCUCCAGUCUGGUUUAGGUGUCUCUUCUGUGCUUCAGCAGCCUCCUUGGCUUCUGUCUCGCAAAGCACUUAUCACUCCAUAUUAUUUUUUAGUUUACUCUAAUGUUUCUCUCCCAGAAAUGAAAUCCUUAAAGGCUGGGAAUGUAUCUGAUUCAUUGCUGUUUCUCCAGAGUUUAGCCCAGGAUUUGGCACAGAACAGACUCUAGAGAGUAUUUGAUGAAUAAAUAACUUAAGAAAUUACUGAGUUUGUCUAGACCAGUGCAGUGUUAUCCCGGAGCAGGCAGGGGAAAUAGGAAUAUCUGAUCCAGAGUCCUUGUGAAUUAAGAACCUCCUAAUCUGCUUCCUCCUUCUGUUCUUCAUGACCAUAGCCCUCAAAAUGACUAUUCAUAUACAAUCAUACUCAUCCUCUCCCCCAUCAUGCAGCAUGAAUUCCCUUUGCUAAGACUCCAGAUACUCUGAAUCCAGCUUUGUAGUUUUCACUGGACAAACUUCAGUCUUGAGAAAUGCCCCUCUUGGCCUGAUUCACUCCCUGGGAACUUCUAUCCAUUUUGAUGCCCUCAAAGGCAAUUCCCCACCUGUAAGAUCCCAGCCACACAGCACACCCACACUUAUUAUCUGUCUCAGCUUCAGGUAGUGGCCUCUCGUCAUGUUUCCUGGAUAUGCUGCCCUGACUUCUGGACAGACCUUCCCGAGUUUGCCUUUCUUCCUGAACUUCCAAGUUAUCUCUCACAGUUACCCAAUCCCUGUGUAAGACCUUGCUGAAUGGUUCCUUAUCUUUCAUCUCAGACCCUCUUGAUGCCUGCGUCUUUGGCUGUAAUCAGAAAUAGCCAUGCCCUGGACAUUGCUGUGUCAACCCCUCUAGCAGGAGGCUCUAAAAUCAGAUCCCACCCAUUCCCUAAAUGCCCUAUCUGAUACAACAUAACAUGCUCUUCCUAGAUACGCCCCCAAAAGUCAAUCUAAUGGAGAGGGUUGAACCUCACAGAAACCAGAGUGGGCAGGACAGGGUAGAAUCAAGAAGACACACAUAACUAGGAACCAGGGAUCCCAGAAUAGAAAUCAGAGAAGAAGGGGACUUAAAAAAUACUAGAUGAAAUUUUAGAUCAAAUUUUCAAGAGCAGCAAGUUGUUCAUUUAGUUUGAAAUAAACCUAGAAAGGUAAAGAAUCAGAUCUCUUGGACCCGAAAUAUCAGACCAGAACAUUUGGAUUUGAAACCAUUAAAAAUAGGACGCCACUGUAAAUGCUUUAACAAAGCUGUCCAGGAACAUGCAGAAGGCACAAAACUGGGAUUCAGGAGGCUUGAGCCUGAGAUUCUGGCUUUAUCACUAGAUGUCUAUGUGACUGUGGGCAGUUCUCCUCCCCAGUCUGCCCCAGAUAAACGAUGUACCAAUGUUGAAUGGUCUUAGUGGUUCUUCCAGGCUCUCAGACUCCACGACACAUAUGCGUUUGACCUGAAGAAUUUGAGUUUCUCUCUGUCUAGCAUCCACCCCCUCUACCCACUACCUCAUACUCCCAAUCUGCUAAGAAUCAGAGCUCCAGAGGAACACCUAUUGUGUCCCAUCUGUUGGCGACAUAGCCAGAGAGAGGAAUGCUCUGCCACAUGUGCUCUUGUUUAUUCCUGAUAUUUUCCAGAGAACCAGGGAUGGGGGAAAAGGGGCGGGAGGAAGAGGCCUCCAUGCAGGAUCAGUUGCAAGUAUUGUUGUCCCACUCCAUGUGUAGACACUGGACAAGCACAGCAGACAAUCAGCAUGUGGGAAAACCUGUGCCUUUUACCAACUAGCAUCCUCCAAAGGUCAAAUUUGAGACUUGGAAUUUAAAAAGGAAACAAAUAAAAUGAACAAGCAAGCAGCUCCAAACUGGUUGCCUUGGACACCAUUAGAAGGCUACAUCCCUGACCUUUGUGCCAGUCAGAAUAGGCUGGGCUAGGCUGUUGGUACAAAAAAACUCCAAAAUCUUAGUAGCUCAUUUAUUUGAACAUCACAGUAAAGUUCAUUUAUUUGUUGAACACUAACAAAUUUUGCCAAAGCUGAAAUUUUUAAUAAAAGAAGAAUAGUUUCCAUUUACUGAGUACCUAUUUAUGCCCAGGACUAUGCUAUACACUUUGCAUAAAUCAGCCCCUUUUUACACAUGAAGAAGUUGAGAUUCAGAUUGAUGAAGCGAUUUGACUGAAGUUAUACAUCUAAAAACUGGUAGACUGGGAUUGAAACCCAAGAUGAUCUAGGCCUGAGGGUGUGCUCUUUCCUUACUCCACACUGCCUGUGAAGGGGACCUUGAAGUGACUCAAUCCCUUAUCCACUUCAAUCAGGCACAUCUUGCAUGGAAGCGGGUAAGGAAAAGAAAUCCUCGGACAAAUGGCUUAGGGAAUAUAUUUUUACAUAAAUAAUUUGCAUUGUUCUUUCAGCUUGCCCACUGUCAACAGUGGAGACUACUCAGUGCCCAACCCUCUAUUGUGGACUUGACUCCCCAAAUCAGAAGCACCUCAAGCACAGGAGCUGUGUGUCCCCAGCAGUCAGCCUCACAUUCAGGAGAGUUCUCAGAGCAUGUUUAUUAGUUAAUGAUUGGUUGAAUGAAUGAGUGAAUGCGCAGUUUCAUUCAUUCUUAACAGACUUUUGAGGAAUCUUAUGAUGUAUGGUUGAAAUCAGACCACAGAAUUUUGGAGGGAAAAAUCUGCUUUAUAGCUCCUUAGAUUUCCUGCACUUACUGUAGGGCAGUCAUUAGCUCUUAUGCCACCCUAAAUGCCUGAAGAGGUGGACCCUAUUCCUCAUGCACCCAGAAUAAAGCUGAGAAGGAAUGAGGAAGUAAAUCUGAGGAAUAUUUGAGACAACGAAACAAAGGGACUUACUUACCAACAGGGCGUCAGAAGUAAGGGAAGAAAUACACAAAAAAGCAUAGGGGUACCUAUCUUCGGAAAGUACCUCAGACCACUAGGAGUGAUUUAGAGUUUAAGCAGAGUGUGUUACUGAUGUUUCCCCAGACCUGGAGAAGUGGAACCCCAGACUGCGGGUACAAAUGAGGUUCCACUUGUAAUAAUCACAUGUGACUUGCUGCCUCAUUCCUCUAUCUGUUCCUGCAGGACUCUAGUCUUCCUCAAAGUCUCAUUAGUUAUUUCUAGAUGUCUCCAAGAGGCAUUGUAUGUGAGCUCAGAAAGGAUGCUAUCCACUUCUACGUGAUGUCUACCAUGUUGCUUCCUUCUUGUUCAGCCCAUCCUGUGAGGUUUUCUGCUUCUUGCAUUUGAGAGUGCCCCAUCCUAGUCAGGGCUCUCACUGUCCAGCAGGAGAAAUCCCAUGGUCUAGCCAAGAAUGCUGCCUGUUUAUAAUAUUAAGCUGUCAGAACAAGAAUUACUAUCACAACCAGUUACACCUUUUUUCAAUCUAUAAAUGGGACAAAUGUUCAUCUCUGUCACUCUGUAUUCACAGCUCUGUGGUCUUUCUUGGAAAUAGCUUCUACCUGCAAUUCCUUUCUCCCUGGUGCUCAAACAGGGACCCAUAGAGCUGCUUCAGGAAACUAAUCUCAGGGGCAGACACCAUAUUUUUACUUUCCUCCUUCCCUAAAGUAGGGCUAGUGCACCUCCCUGCUGUGCUAAUUUCAGCCCCCAUGGAUCUUCAUGUGAACAAAACUCUGAAAGAAGUCUGCCCCAACAGUCCUCCAUAGCUUAGUCUAAAGCUAGAACCCCUCUUCUGGAGGAUGAAUACAGUGAUCUCUGUUUCUCAUUCUGGUAUCUUAUAAAAACAUGUCUUAACAUUUUUCUCUAGAUGCAUUUAUUAAACACUUGCUGUGCUCCAGAUAUCAGGUUGGGCACAGUGACUCACGCCUGUAAUCCUAGCACUUUGGGAGGCCGACAUGGGCAGAUCACCUGAUUUCAGGAGUUCGAGACCAGCCUGACCAAUAUGGAGAAACCCCGUCUCUACUAAAAAUACAAAAUUAGCCAGGUGUGGUGGCACAUGCCAUAAUCCCAGCUACUCGGGAGGCUGAGAGAGGAGAAUCACUUUAACCAGGAAGUGGAGGUUGCAGUGAGCCAAGGUGGCACCACUGCACUCCAGCCUGGGCAACAAGAGCGAAACUCCAUGUCAAAAAAACAAGAAAAAGCUUUCUGUGCAGCCCCUCACUUAGUCCUCACCUCAUCUCUAUGGUCUAGGUAUCAUUAGCCCUUCUAUGGCUCCAGGGAGGGAAGUGCCUACCCAAGGCCAGCCGGCUCUGGCACAUUCACUUGAGUCUUAGCCUUUGUUUUGACUCUCUGGCCAUGGCCUCUCUUUGGAGUCUGUUUCUUGCCCUUUGUGAUUACCAGACUCAGCACUUACUCUUUCUUUUCCUUUCAGGGCUUACACAUUAGAUCUGACAGCCAGCAUAUCUUUCCAGCUGUGAUCUCAGGCUCUCUGGGCAAAAAUUUGGUUUUCUCUUCUCUCUGGUUCAUAUAUAGCUUGGGCCUCCUUUCACUUGGGACUCUCCAAAUUUGGCCCUGCCUCAUAAGGGACAUUUAACUGAGCCUGACUUUACCAGAGCCCUAGAAGUUAGGUCUGACAACUUCUUUGUAUUUCUACGUGGCCUUGGGAAGAAUCUUAACAUCUUUGUGCCUCAGUUUAGUUGACCAAAAAGCAAUACUAAUAUCUACCUUGCAGGUUUACUGUGGGAAAUAAUGAGACAGACUGUUUAAAGUGCCUCUAAUGAUGCCUGAAACAGUAACUGUAUAGUAAACAAAGUGCUAUGAAAGAGUAAUCUUCCUGUCAAUUGUAUCUGGUAAGCAGCAAAUACCAUUAUCAUUCCAUUUUAUAGAUGUGGAAACUGAUAUCAAAAAUAGGUUAAAAGACUUACCCCAGGUCCCAGACCUUGAAAAUGGCAGAUCUCAAAUAUGAAGCAGAUCCUGGUAUUUAAUGACUCACUGUCUUAUACUGCUUGGCACAAAGCAGACCCUCUACAAAUAGGGUUAUGCGUUGCUCCUAAAUGAAUAUAUUAAUGAAGAAAUGUUCCUUCUCUUCCCUUUGUGUCAUUGCCUCAGAUACCAGUGCUCUAUCCCAAGACUUGCCCACUGAUUUUCUGUGUCCAGAGGAGAUUAAGAUGUUGCAGUUUUCUUUACCCCUAAAAGCCCUGCCCAGCCCAGUCUCUGGCUGAGUUCCUUGGCCCAGAACAAUACAGGGAGAAAUUCUUUCAUAACUUGGGGGUUACCAAUGGAGCACUCCUGCUGAGGCAGGCCUCUUGCCAAGCAACUUCCACUGCCCAUCUUAUAUGCAGAUGUGUGCAACAAUCCUGCACAUCUGCAUGGGGAACAUUCAAAAGCUAUAAAUUGCCUGGAAAAAAGGAAAAUAUGAGUGUCAGCUCUAUAGGAAUGGAUGCUUCUGAGGGGCCAAGCAGAGGAGGAGAGCAGAUCACACACUGAGAAUAGUUGGCCCAAAGCAGACUGGGGAUGGAGAAACAACACUACACCCCUACUUUCACCUCUCAUAGGGAGGCUCAUGCAAUUUCAGAAGUGUGGAUACCACUGUCUAAUUCGAGUUAUUUCUCUACCAAUGUCCCCAUCUCCCUGAGCCACAAUGUCCUUGAGCCUUUCAGUUUUGUUCUUAAUUUGCAUCACCUCAGUCUGUUAGAAGAAAAGCAAAGCAUGGCAGCAGACCCAACGGUAAGAACCCUGGACUAGGACUGAGACAUCUUUCUUCAAAUGCGUUCAUAUAACUAACAAGUACAGAGCGUCCAUGCUUGUGCCAGGCGCAGAGGGACAGAGAUGAUUCCAUCACAGUCAGGAUGCUCAAGAAGGCGCCACAGUCUAAUGGGGCAGACGGGCAAAGAAAUGAACAACUUCGAAGAAAGCACAGAAAACUUCUGGGAGUGCAGAGUUGGUUAAGGUAAAAGGCAUAUCACAGAAUGCUUCCUAGAGGAGGUAACAUCUGAGUGAAUCUUGAAGAGAUAUGGCAAGUACCCAAGGGAAGAACUUAUGCAUACUAACACCACUGAAGCACUGUUGGAUAUAUGAGAGUAGAUGCUCAUUCACAACCACUGAUAUUUCCACACACAUAUACACACACAAACAUAUGGGCACACAUACACACCUUUGGAGGCAGGUGUAAUACUGGUUGGGAAUAGUUCAUAUGGUAACCCUUGCUGUUCAUCUUGCCACAAUCCAAAUGUCUCCCUUCCCCAGUGGUGCUGUUCCAUGAAAAGCCUUGGCAAGUUUCCUCAGAAUCAGCUACUUUGCCACUGUUACUUUAAAAGCUUCUUUUUCUCCUACCAAAUGGCAAAGGAAGCCAGAGAAAAAUGAAUUCACCAGGGCAUCUUGAGCUGGCUUUUGCUCUUUGUGUCCCCCAGGCUAAUCCCUCAAGAAUCUUGGCUAGAACAAAGAAAGAGCAGGCUUAUGGUUGAAGGGAGUAGUGGUUCAGUGUAAGGAAAAGGCUGACUGUGAAGGGAUAGGUCAUUGCCUUUGAUUCCUGCAGGAGUAUCUGAGGGCAGAAGAAACAAGGCAGAACAACGAUCAGCGUAGGGGCACUAGAGGUAGGGAUUUUGCUCUAUGUGAAUGGCUAUUUCCUCAAGUCAAAGCUGCCUACCAGUGGGAUUAGCAGCUUUAAAAAGUGGUAAGCACUCUGUCCCUGCUGAAGUGUGAGGGGAACAGACCACUGCUUAUGGGAUGAGGAAGAUGUAGCUGGUUGUCAAACACCAGAGGAGAGGUCACAUCUCUUUGCCCUGUUCUGCCGUCUUCACAUGGGAAUUGACUUAGUACCGAGCAAAUAUUCAGGCCUCUAAGAGUCUAAGGAUUUGCAUUUCCAAGGUUAUGGAGAAAGGCAUGUAGUAAAUGUGUAUUUAGGCAUCCCAGAUGCGAAAGGUGUGAUUAUUUUCAGAACCUAAUCUCAUACCUUCCCAUCCUUGCUGAACUGAAUAUUGCAAAUAUAUUCUCAUUUGUAUUUGGAAUGGUGUGUUUCUAAGCAAUCAUCAUUCUGAAUACUCAUCCCAAACAGGAGAUGACCUGAAUAUUUAAUAGAAUAAAAAUGUAUAUAUUAGAUUACUUAUUCAAAUGCCUAUCUGGCAGUUUGGAUAGAAUUAAGCAAUAGUCCAAUCUGCCUGUUGUUUUAUGCAUAGGAUGUCAAAGCUCGUAUUCUUUCCCUGCACAGAACCAUGUCUUGUCCUGUUCACAGAUGGGGAAACAGACUGAGAAGGGGGCAUAGAGUGUGAGAUAGGAGACCCAGGAACAGUGCUACCAUUUGGUGGCUAGGCAAGGUAAUAGUAUUGCUCUUGGACAAAGGAAGCAACUGAGGUUCGGUGUGGUUAAGUAACUUUUGCAGAGUCACAUAGCUGGUAAAUCACAGAGUUGUCUCCAUCCCAGGCUAUUAUUCUCUUGCACUACCUCACUGAGCCCCUAAUAUAGCCCGAGAGUGUGUUUCUCUCCUUUCAUGCCACCUUCAGAUGCUCUGGCAGUACUUCGACUAUGAAAUCUUGGGAAGUGAUGUUAUUAUCCCUGUUCUAUCGUUGGGAAAAUCCCCAUGAGAUAUGGAACUACAUUUUAGAUUCCCCAGACCAGGGAUUCUACCGCACAGCUAUUGUACCUUGCAAGCUCUAAAUGCCCCACAACAUCAAGCAAGAGCACAUUAUUCUGUUCUGCCAUUACAAUAACAAAAGGCAAUAACCCAAAUUUGCCUUUUGAAAUGAACCCAACAUUCCUUUUGAAGGAAAACCUUCCCUCAGAAGCUUGGUUAGAAGUCAUUUCUAAGAAAACUUCCCUGUGUGCUCCCUACUCCAGACCCCAAAGUGCUUCUCACAUAGUAUCGUCAUUGUAUAGGGGAUAUUCUCCCCACUAAAUCAUGAGUACUUUGAGUCCAAUAACCACCUCCGACUGUUUUGUGUAUCUCCAGCAUGGUAUCUGGUACCCAGCAGGUUUCUGAGAUUUGCCGAAAAAAUGAAUAGAUAUUUGAGUAGCAUCACUGCCAGGUGAUAUAAUAAGAGUAUGUGGUAGGAACUCAAGGGGAAGGGACUUUUCUCCCCCUUCCAACCAAUCUCUGGCCAUCAAAGAGAAUAUGGCAAGCCCUGAAAGUUAACAUGGUGCUUCCAUCCCCAGCAAACAGUAACUGAAAUGUAGGACAAAGUCUCUGAGCUUCCCGUGAUUUUGCCAUUUCUGUGGAAGAAGAAAACACCAUCUGCAGCACAUGUUUCUAUUCAGACUUGAACCUCACUUCAUCUCACCAGACAAUUCUGAAAGCACUUUAGCAUUCUUUCCGGUACCAUCCUUUUUAGCCUGUCUCUCCAGAAUCCUAUAGCCCCUACUCCUCCAGGAAGGAUUCCCCAGCUCAGUAGCCCACCAUGAUAUCUCCCUUCUAGCUCCUCUUUCUCACCAGAUGCACCAUUCAUUUCUUGUUUAUCAGAUGCUGCCUCUUAUUUGUCAGUUAUAGAUGGUCAGUGUGGGUGGAGAGAUGCAGUGUGGGCCAAUGAAGAUAUCACAAGCUCUGGGCUCAGAGAGACUUGGGUAUAAAUCCCAACCUGACCAGUGAAUAACUGUAGAACCUUAGAACAUUUAUUUAACCACUCCAAGGCAGUAAAAUUGGGAGUAAAACUUCACUCUCAGGAUUGUUGGGAGAUAUGCAGGGACCCUAAUAACUGAGGGCAUUUUCUCCAAAGCUGGGGAGCACAUGCUUUAUCUACAGACACCCCUGUAAUGGUGUACCUUUUAGAAAUAAUGCUUUGGUUAUUGCACAUAGAAUGGGUUGGAGAAGAGGCAGUAAAGGAGAGAAACCAGGCAGGAGAAUUUGCAGGAAUGGUCAUGGGUUGGCAGGGUGGAGAGGAGGUGUGGCAGUGUGAAGGUACCGGAAAUAGUAGUCUGAACAAAAGAGGUAACAAAUAAUAAUAAGAGCUAGUGUUUGUGAGCUUCUAUUCUGGGCCAGGAAUUAUGCUAUCGUGUUUUGGGAUUUUGUUUUAUCUUGUUAUUAAUCUAAAAUUUUUACUCUCCAUUUUAUAGAUGAGGAAACUGAGAUGCUGAGAGGUGAAACAAAGUAUCCAAAAUGACAAAAUGACAUACUAAGAAAACUUGGAUUCAAGUCUAGGCAAUCUCAUUUCAGAGCCUGACUGCUUAACCAUCAGACUAGCUCACAAUUGUAGCAGAGAUUGGAGAAAAACCAUUUAGAUAGUGAAACUGGCAGAACUUGCUAAAAUAUUGGCAAGAGUGGGUAAGAUAGAGGGUAGAGCAUAGGAUACUGUCACAUUUGUCUCACAAGGCCCACAGGCCCAGAGAGGCAGAGCCAGGAUUUUAACCCGAUUGUGUCUAAUGCCAAAGCACUUCCUCUUUUCAUAGCCUCAGAAAAUUUUACCUCAGACCUUAGUGAGGUAGAAAUCUGUACCUUCCCCAGAAUUUUAUAAUUCCUUUGUUUAAACCAUUAUACCAUGACUUUCUUUCCUUAAGACGUUGAAGGUAUAUAUUUCUUUACAAAGGGAUUAUCAAUUACAAAGAAAAUUUGACAGGAAAAUACAUUUGAUAGCUUUGCUUCUUUGGUGCCAAAACAAAUGCAAAAAAGGACUCCAAGUGCCUUUGGGAAUAGCCAGUAGAGGAAGGGCAGAACAUCCACUGUAGUCAGAGGGAGACUGGUGUGAGCUUGAGCUCUACAUUCAUUCGUCCCUUUACCAGGCCUUUCCCAAGGCUCUUCUGAGUGCCAGACUUGGGCUGGACACUGACACUGAAGGACAGUGCUGGAUAACGACCCCUGCCUGUAAAGCUCAUAACCAAGGUGUAAGAUGGACAAAUAGGUGGGCCUUCAAGUGCUAUUCGAAAGAAGAGGGAUGGUGUCCUCUACACAAGAGGAGAUGCUAUGUUUGUGUCUUGGCAUUGGGCAGAAGCCAAGCCAUGUGGCCUUGGGCGCAUUACUUCACGUAGCUUCCUUGUCUUUACUAGUGGGAACAAUCAAGCUUACAUUAACCUGUUCUUUACUCUCAGAUACUCAAGGACCUAUAGUGCUGGGUUAGUACUGAGAAUCUGGAGCCUUCACUGUUCCUGGGGUGGAUCAGGUUAGGCAUGCAGAUUGCAAAGCUUGAUGCUGAGAGUGGGAGCCAGUGGUCUAUGGUGGAGAUAAAACAGAGAAAUAGAGAAAGCCUAACCCUGGAUGCCUCUUGAAUGGGCCAGGUAGAAAUGUAAGUUCAAGUGUGAAGUGAAAGAUUGAAAACAAGACAUGAGUCCACAGCAUGUAUUAUAAUGGAGGGUGGGGCCAGAGGCAGGACCUAGAGACAGGCUCUGGGUAUUACUAGGAGCAUAGACAUUGGAACCUCUGUGGUACACUCUGGAUGGGGAGGGCUUCGUUAAGCAUGCUGAGUGGUCCAGCGCUAUUAGGAGAAUGAAAUGACAUUAUGCAUGUGAAGCACCCAGCAUACUUCCUAGUACAUUCAGUUAACUUUCAAUGAAUGUUAAUCAUAGAAUUGCUCUCUUUUUACAUCAGAGUACACCAAGAGCUUCCAAUGUGCUAGGUCCUGUGCUGGAUACUGAGAGGAAAGGAAUGAUUAAGAUGUAAUUUCUGUCCCCAGAAGCCCAGACUGAUGGAGAUCCAGACACAUAAAUAACAUGUUCCAAUUGAAGGUUCUAAAUGACAUGAUGGGGUAGACAUAGAGCUAUGGCAGGGUGAAGGGGCACUGUCCUAACCUAAUUGUUCCUGGAAGGCUCCCUGGAAGAGAUAAUGGCUAAGGUUACUGUUGAAGGUUAAGAAAGGGUUAGCCAGGCAAAAAUUAGUGAAAAAUCCAUGCUGGGAAUGGGCACAGCUUCAACAUACGCGUAGAACAGCAUGGUGUGAUCAAGAAAAUAGAAUAUAAGGAGAGGCAAGUGAUAAGGCUAGAGGGGAGGCAAGGAGACCAGAUCUGGAGACAAAGGAGCCUGGCCUCCAUCCUGAAACUUUCUAUCAACUGAUAGGAAGCCAGUGAAGAGUUUUAAGCAGAAAAUUAACAUGGCUGAUUUUGUGCUUUAAUUAGGUCACUCUGGCUGGUAGGGGAGAGGAUGUUAGAGAGUACCAGCUGGAGGCCAGGGGAAGUUUUUGUUUGAUGCUUUGAAAAAAAAAAAAAAAGUCAUUAUAGAGGCAAGGCUGGAUGGGAAUAAGGCAGAUAGAAGACAGGACUAAAGAAUGUGCAGCUCCCAGUCAGAACAGCAUGUGGAGACUCAUACUGUGAAUUUUUGCUCCAAGAAACACUGCAAAAACGUGCAAGGAAGACCAAAAGAGUUCAUAGAUUCUUUGGAAGAAGCAGCUUGCCAUUGCAAACUUCAUGAGACAGCCAAGAAACUGCAAGCUUUCAAAGUGUGAGAGGGGAAAACCUGCCUAUGAACACACAUCCCUACUGGGGAACCUGAAAAUCCAGAUCACGGGAGAAAGAUUCAACCUUACCUACAUCUGAUAUGGAUUUAGGGAGUUGAGCAAGAUACUAAAGUAGAAGAAGCUAUGAGGAAAGCCCUGUAGGCACUCUCAUUCCCCAGCUGAAGCCCAGGGAAGCCAUCCCUGACUUUAUCUCAUAGGAGUCCUUGGGGAAGGCAGCCAGAGGAACUAGGGAGGGGUCACAAGAUGAAAGAAGAUUCCAACUAAGCUUUGUAAUAAUUUUGACCAGCGGGGCGUGAACAGGAAUAGCUGUAGAUACAAGUGCAGUAUCUUCAACCAAUAUUGUGGGCAGGUGGGGAGGAGCAAGGCCAGAAAGCCACACUUGCUUUUUCAGUGAGGAAGCUUGUAGCCUGGGGCAAGGUUCAAGCCUUGAAUGUGGGCUGCCUGGAUAUAAAUUUGGUGCUGUCAGCGGGGAACAGUGGAGGGAGACUGGUCUUGCUGGGUGUGUGGGAACUGGGUGAGGCCUGUCACUGCCAGCUUUCCCCCAAUUUCCCUGGCAACCUGUGUGAUGCAACAGAGGCAGCCAUAAUCCACCUUGGAACCCGUAACUGCAUUGACCUGAGAACUACCCUCCUACAUCCCCUACAAUAGCCACAGUAAGCCACUCGCAAGGAGAGUCUGCGCUCAGACCCACCUAAACCUGCCCAAACCCGAUGGUUUUGCUCUACCUGCCCUGGCAGCUGAACUCAAAAGACAUCAACUCUUGGGAGCUUUAUGGCCCCAUGUAUCCAUUGCCUGAGAAACCUGAAUACUUACCUGUCCAACUUAGGGCAAGCUUAUAUCCUUUUUCUACUACCACAGCUGGUGCUCUCUUGAAAGAGAAUGAUCUUUGGGUAAACAAUGAAAUCAAGAUGGAAACUAAAAAUUCUUUGAACUGAGUGGUAAUGGUGAUACAAGCCAUCAAAACCUCUGGGAUACAGCAAAGGUGGUGCUAAGAGGAAAGUUCAUAGCAUUGAAUGCCCACAUCAAAAGGUGUGAAAUGGCACAAAUAGACAAUCUAAGCACACACCUCAAGGAACUAGAGAAACAAGAAAAAAAACAAACCUAAAACCAGCAGAAUAAAAGAAAUAACAAAGAUCAGAAUGGAACUAAAUGAAAUUGAAACAAACAAGCAAAAAGGGUAAAUGAAACAAAAAGCUGGUUCUUUGAAAAUAUAAACAUACUUGAUAGACCAUUAGUGAGAUUAAGCAAGGAAAGAACAGAGAUGGUCCAAAUAAGCUCAAUUUUAAAUGAAAUGGGAGAUAUUACAAUGGAUAUCAGAGAAAUACAAAAGAUUAUUCAAGGAUUCUCUGAGUACUUUAUGUACAAAACUAGAAAACCUAGAUGAGAGGAUAAAGUCCUGAAAAUGUACAACCCUCCAAAAUUAAACCAGGAAGAAACAGAAACUCUGAGCAGAUCAAUAACAAAUGGUGGUAUUGAAACAAUAAUUUUUAAAAUUGCCAACAAAAAAUGUCCAGGACCAGCUGGAUUCACAGCUGAAUUGUAUCAGAAUUCAAAGAAGAAUUGCUACCAAACCCACUGAAACUAUUCCAAAAGGUAUGAAAAGAGGGAAUCCUCCCUAAAUCAUUCUAUGAAGCCAGUAUUACCUUAAUACCAAAACCAGGAAAGGAUAUAACAAAAAAAGAAAACAAUAGACCAAUAUCUCUGAUGAACAUAGAUGCAAAAAUCCUCAAAAAAAUACUAGCUAACUUAACCCAACAGCAUAUCAGAAAGAUAAUACAUCAUGGUCAAGUGGGUUUCAUACCAGGGAAGUGGGGGAUGGUUUAACAUGUGCAAGUCAAUAAAUGUGAUACAUCACAUAAACAGAAUUAAAGACAAAAAAAAAUGAUCAUCUCAAUAGACACAGAAAAAGCAUUUGACAAAAUCCAGCAUCGCUUUAUGAUUAAAAUCCUCAGAAAAAUCAGCAUAGAAGGGUCAUUUCUCAACAUAAUAAAAGCCAUCUAUGACAAACCCACAGCCAACAUUUAUACUGAACAGGGAAAAGUUGAAAGCAUUCCCCCUGAGUACUAGAACAAGACAAGGAUACCCACUUUCACUCCUUCUAUUCGGCAUAGUAUUAGAAGUCCCAGCCACGGCAAUCAGAAAAGAGAAAGAAAUACAAGGCAUCCAAAUUAGUAAAGAGGGAGUUAAACUGUCACUGUUUACCAGUGAUGUGACUGUAUACCUAAAAAAUGCUGAAUACCUUUCCAGAAAGCUCCUAGAUCUGAUAAAUGAAUUUACUAAAGUUUCAGGACACAAAAUCAAUGUACACAAAUCAGUAGCACUGCUAUACACCAACAAUAACCAAUCUGAGAAUCAAAUAAAGAAUACAACCCCUUUUACAACAGCUGGAAAAAAUAACAUAAAAUACUUAGGAUUAUACCUAACCAAGGAGGUAAAAGAUCUCUACAAGGAAAACUAGAAAACACUGCUGAAAGAAAUCACAGAUGAAACAAAGAAAACACAGUUCACGUUAAUGGAUGGGUAGAAUCAAUAUUGUGAAAAUGACCGUGCUGCCAAAAGCAAUCUAUAAAUUCAAUGCAAUUCCCAUCAAAAUACCAUCAUCAUUCUUCACAGACCUAGAAAAACGAUCCUGAAAUUCACAUGGAACCAAGAAAGAGCCUGCAUAGUCAAAGCAAGACUAAGCAAAAAAUAAAUCUGGACGCAUCACAUUACCAGACUUCAAACUAUACUACAAAGCUAUAGUUACAUGGUACAGCAUGGUACGGGUCUAAAGAUAGGCAUAUAGACCAUUGGAACAGAAUAGAAAACCCAUAAAUAAUGCCAAAUACAGCCAACUGAUCUUUGACAAAGCAAACAAGAACCAAGUGCCUGGGGAAAGGACACCCUAUUCAACAAAUGGUGCUGGAAUAAUUGGCAAGCCACAUGUAGAAGAAUGAAACUGGAUCCUCAUCUCUUGCCUUAUACAAAAAUCAACUCAAAAUGGAUCAAACAGUUAAAUCUAAGACCUAAAACCAUAAAAAAUUCUGGAAGAUGACAUCAGAAAGACUCUUCUAGACACUGGCUUAGGCAGAGAGUCCAUGACCAGGAAAGCAAAUGCAACAAUAACGAAAGCAAUGCAACAAGAGCAAAGACAAAUAGAUGGGACCUAAUGAAACUAAAAGGAUUCUACACAGCAAAAGAAAUAAUCAGCAGAAUAAACAAGACAACCCACAGAUUGGGAGAAAAUCUUCACAAACUGUACAUCUGACAGAGGACUAAUAUCCAGACUCCAUAAAGAACUCAAAUAAAUCAGCAAGAUAAAAAAAAUCCCCAUCAGGCCGGGCGCGGUGGCUCAAGCCUGUAAUCCCAGCACUUUGGGAGGCCGAGGUGGGUGGAUCACGAGGUCAAGAGAUUGAGACCAUCCUGGUAAACAUGGUAAAACCCCGUCUCUACUAAAAUACAAAAAAUUAGCUGGGCAUGGUGGUGCGUGCCUGUAAUCCCAGCUACUCAGGAGGCUGAGGCAGUAGAAUUGCCUGAACUCAGGAAGCGGAGGUUGAGGUGAGCCGAGAUCGCGCCAUUGCACUCCAGCCUGGGUAACAAGAGCGAAACUCCUUCUCAAAAAAAAAAAAAAAAAAAUCCCCAUCAAAAAGUAGGCUAAGGAUGGGAGCUGGAGCCCCAUGAGAAAGAGAGGGAGGUUCUCUUAAGAGUUCAGCUGCGAGGCAGUAGCAGAGGAGGAAUGAUUGUGAAUACCCUCUCUCUGUGCUACCAUAACAAGCUAAUUCUGGCCCCAGUGGUUCGGGUAGGGACUCUUCCAAUGCGGCUGCUCGCCCUGGAUUAUGGAGCGGACAUUGUUUACUGUGAGGAGCUGAUCGACCUCAAGAUGAUUCAGUGCAAGAGAGUUGUCAAUGAGGUGCUUAGCACAGUGGACUUUGUUGCUCCUGAUGAUCGAGUUGUCUUCCGCACCUGUGAAAGAGAGCAGAACAGGGUUGUCUUCCAGAUGGGGACUUCAGACGCAGAGCGAGCCCUUGCUGUGGCCAGGCUUGUAGAAAAUGAUGUGGCUGGUAUUGAUGUCAACAUGGGCUGUCCAAAAGAAUAUUCCACCAAAGGAGGAAUGGAAGCUGCUCUGUUGUCAGACCCUGACAAGAUUGAGAAGAUCCUCAGCACUCUUGUUAAAGGGACACGCCAACCUGUGACCUGCAAGGUUCGCAUCCUGCCAUCGCUAGAAGAUACCCGGAGCCUUGUGAAGCGGAUAGAGAGGACUGGCAUUGCUACCAUUGUGGUUCCUGGGAGGAAGCAGGAGGAGCGACCUCAGCAUCCUGUCAGCUGUGAGGUCAUCAAAGCCAUUGCUGAUACCCUCUCCAUUCCUGUCAUAGCCAAUAGAGGAUCUCAUGACCACAUCCAAAGGUAUUCGGACGUAGAGGACUUUCGACAAGCCACGGCAGCCUCUUCCGUGAUGGUGGCUUGAGCUGCCAUGUGGAACCCAUCUAUCUUUCUCAAGGAGGGUCUGCGGCCCCUGGAGGAGGUCAUGCAGAAAUACAACAGAUACGCGGUGUAGUAUGACAACCACUAUACCAACACUAAGUACUGCUUGUGCCAGAUGCUAUGAGAACAGUUGGAUUCUCCCCAGGGAAGGUUGCUCCAUGCUGCCCAGUCUUCCCAGGAAAUUUGUGAGGCCUUUGGCCUUGGUGCCUUCUAUGAGGAGACCACACAGGAGCUGGAUGCCCAGCGGGCCAAGCUCUCAGCCAGGACUUCAGAGUAGACCGGGGAGCCAGCUGAAGAUACCUCUGGUGUGAUUAAGAUGGCUGUCAAGUUUGACCGGAGGGCAUAUUCAGCCCAGAUCACCCCCAAGAUGUGUCUGCUAGAGUGGUGCCAGAGAGAGAAGUUGCCACAGCCCAUGUAUGAAAUGGUUCAACGCCCUAUAGACUGCCUGUUCUCUUCUAUUGUCACCAUUGCUGAACAAAACUAUCAGUCUACCUUGUGGGACAAGUCCAAGAAACUGGCGGAGCAGGCUGCGGCCAUCAUAUGUCUGUGGAGCCAGGGCCUCCCUGAGGGUCAGCUGGGUGAGGAGAACCCUUCCUUGCACAAGCAAAAGAGGGAGGCUCCUGACCAUGACUGUGGGGGCUCCAGAGCUCAGGAGCUAGCAUAACCUGGGGAGCUGUGCAAGAAGCCCUUUGUGGCCUUGGGAAGCAGUGAAGAGAGCCCCCUGGAAGGCUGGUGACUACUCUUUCUGCCCUAGUCACCCCUCCAUGGUCUGGUGCUAAGGUGGCUGUGGAUACCACAGCAUGAACCAGAUGCUGUUGAACAAUUUGCUGGUCUUGCCUGGCAGGAGUUAG